GACGAACGCUGGCGGCGUGCCUAAUACAUGCAAGUCGAGCGAGCUUGCCUAGAUGAAUUUGGUGCUUGCACCAGAUGAAACUAGAUACAAGCGAGCGGCGGACGGGUGAGUAACACGUGGGUAACCUGCCCAAGAGACUGGGAUAACACCUGGAAACAGAUGCUAAUACCGGAUAACAACACUAGACGCAUGUCUAGAGUUUAAAAGAUGGUUCUGCUAUCACUCUUGGAUGGACCUGCGGUGCAUUAGCUAGUUGGUAAGGUAACGGCUUACCAAGGCAAUGAUGCAUAGCCGAGUUGAGAGACUGAUCGGCCACAUUGGGACUGAGACACGGCCCAAACUCCUACGGGAGGCAGCAGUAGGGAAUCUUCCACAAUGGACGCAAGUCUGAUGGAGCAACGCCGCGUGAGUGAAGAAGGGUUUCGGCUCGUAAAGCUCUGUUGUUGGAGAAGAACGUGCGUGAGAGUAACUGUUCACGCAGUGACGGUAUCCAACCAGAAAGUCACGGCUAACUACGUGCCAGCAGCCGCGGUAAUACGUAGGUGGCAAGCGUUGUCCGGAUUUAUUGGGCGUAAAGCGAGUGCAGGCGGUUCAAUAAGUCUGAUGUGAAAGCCUUCGGCUCAACCGGAGAAUUGCAUCAGAAACUGUUGAACUUGAGUGCAGAAGAGGAGAGUGGAACUCCAUGUGUAGCGGUGGAAUGCGUAGAUAUAUGGAAGAACACCAGUGGCGAAGGCGGCUCUCUGGUCUGCAACUGACGCUGAGGCUCGAAAGCAUGGGUAGCGAACAGG
RNAcentral lists this ribosomal RNA (788 nucleotides) under uncultured Lactobacillus sp. RNAcentral's name for it is "bacterial SSU rRNA". It matches the Rfam family "Bacterial small subunit ribosomal RNA", at positions 28 to 776 of the family's 1533-position model. Lineage: Bacteria; Bacillati; Bacillota; Bacilli; Lactobacillales; Lactobacillaceae. The record is from RNAcentral.